RNAcentral lists this ribosomal RNA (323 nucleotides) under uncultured Glomeromycotina. RNAcentral's name for it is "SSU rRNA". It matches the Rfam family "Eukaryotic small subunit ribosomal RNA", at positions 569 to 898 of the family's 1831-position model. Lineage: Eukaryota; Fungi; Glomeromycota. The record is from RNAcentral.
AGCAGCCGCGGUAAUUCCAGCUCCAAUAGCGUAUAUUAAAGUUGUUGCAGUUAAAAGCUCGUAGUUGAAUUUCGGGAUCAAUUAAUUGGUCGUGCCUCUGGUACGCACUGGUUUUAUUGGUUUCUCCCUUCUGACGAACCACGAUGUCAUUAAUUUGGUGUCGUGGAGAAUCAGGACUGUUACUUUGAAAAAUUGAGUGUUUAAAGCAGGCUAACGCUUGAAUACAUUAGCAUGGAAUAAUGAAAUAGGACGUUUGAUCCUAUUUUGUUGGUUUCUAGGAUCGACGUAAUGAUUAAUAGGGAUAGGUUGGGGGCAUUAGUAUU